AAUCUUAAAAAAAUAAAAAAAUAAAAAUGGAAUGAUACAGAGAAGAUUAGCAUGCCCCCUAUGCAAAGAUGACAUGCAAACCUGCGAAGUGUCCCAUAUUUUU
Small nuclear RNA from Leptonychotes weddellii (Weddell seal), 103 nucleotides. The record is from RefSeq and is a predicted model, not a curated record. Lineage: Eukaryota; Metazoa; Chordata; Mammalia; Carnivora; Phocidae.